RNAcentral lists this ribosomal RNA (429 nucleotides) under Chloroflexota bacterium. RNAcentral describes it as "Chloroflexi bacterium partial 16S ribosomal RNA". It matches the Rfam family "Bacterial small subunit ribosomal RNA", at positions 355 to 776 of the family's 1533-position model. Lineage: Bacteria; Bacillati; Chloroflexota. The record is from RNAcentral.
UGGGGAAUAUUGCACAAUGGGCGCAAGCCUGAUGCAGCCAUGCCGCGUGUGUGAAGAAGGCCUUCGGGUUGUAAAGCACUUUCAGCGGGGAGGAAGGCGGUGAGGUUAAUAACCUCAUCGAUUGACGUUACCCGCAGAAGAAGCACCGGCUAACUCCGUGCCAGCAGCCGCGGUAAUACGGAGGGUGCAAGCGUUAAUCGGAAUUACUGGGCAUAAAGCGCACGCAGGCGGUUGAUUGAGUCAGAUGUGAAAUCCCCGGGCUUAACCCGGGAAUUGCAUCUGAUACUGGUCAGCUAGAGUCUUGUAGAGGGGGGUAGAAUUCCAUGUGUAGCGGUGAAAUGCGUAGAGAUGUGGAGGAAUACCGGUGGCGAAGGCGGCCCCCUGGACAAAGACUGACGCUCAGGUGCGAAAGCGUGGGGAGCAAACAGG